CCGGAUGAAGAAAGAAUCGAGCUGAUCAGUGAUGAGCCCUAUGAGUGCUGACG
RNAcentral lists this small nucleolar RNA (53 nucleotides) under Candidatus Methanoplasma termitum. RNAcentral's name for it is "Small nucleolar RNA sR41". It matches the Rfam family "Small nucleolar RNA sR41". Lineage: Archaea; Methanobacteriati; Thermoplasmatota; Thermoplasmata; Methanomassiliicoccales; Methanomassiliicoccaceae. The record is from Rfam by way of RNAcentral.